This 460-nucleotide ribosomal RNA is filed under the name uncultured bacterium. RNAcentral's name for it is "partial 16S ribosomal RNA". It matches the Rfam family "Bacterial small subunit ribosomal RNA", at positions 338 to 795 of the family's 1533-position model. The record is from RNAcentral.
CCUACGGGAGGCUGCAGUGAGGAAUAUUGGUCAAUGGACGAGAGUCUGAACCAGCCAAGUAGCGUGAAGGAUGACUGCCCUAUGGGUUGUAAACUUCUUUUAUAUGGGAAUAAAAUGUUCCACGUGUGGGAUGUUGUAUGUACCAUAUGAAUAAGGAUCGGCUAACUCCGUGCCAGCAGCCGCGGUAAUACGGAGGAUCCGAGCGUUAUCCGGGUUUAUUGGGUUUAAAGGGAGCGUAGGUGGAUUGUUAAGUCAGUUGUGAAAGUUUGCGGCUCAACCGUAAAAUUGCAGUUGAAACUGGCAGUCUUGAGUACAGUAGAGGUGGGCGGAAUUCGUGGUGUAGCGGUGAAAUGCUUAGAUAUCACGAAGAACUCCGAUUGCGAAGGCAGCUCACUGGACUGCAACUGACACUGAGGCUCGAAAGUGUGGGUAUCAAACAGGAUUAGAUACCCCUGUAGUC